RNAcentral lists this ribosomal RNA (492 nucleotides) under uncultured bacterium. RNAcentral describes it as "partial 16S ribosomal RNA". It matches the Rfam family "Bacterial small subunit ribosomal RNA", at positions 30 to 507 of the family's 1533-position model. The record is from RNAcentral.
AUUGAACGCUGGCGGCAUGCCUAACACAUGCAAGUCGAACGGCAACACGCUUAGCGCUUCCUACUACUGGUGGCGGGGGGAGGAAGGGUACGGAAUGGAUCAGCAACUUGUGUGUCAGGGAGCACAACGUGGGCCAAGACCGCAUACCAUCUGAUAUGUCAAACGGGGGAGCAUACUGGAAUAUGUGGCCUUUCGCGUUUGUAAUAGCCGAUGUCGGAUUAGCUAGUUGGUGGGGUAAAGGCCUACCAAGCCGACGAUCCGUAGCUGGUCUGAGAGGAUGAUCAGCCACACUGGAACUGAGACACGGUCCAGACUCCUACGGGAGGCAGCAGUGGGGAAUCUUGGACAAUGGGCGCAAGCCUGAUCCAGCAAUGCCGCGUGAGUGAAGAAGGCCUUCGGGUUGUAAAGCGCUUUUGUUAGGAAAGAAAAGCAGCUGGAUAAUACCUGGGCGUCUUGACGGUACCGUAAGAAUAAGCACCGGCUAACUACGUG